Molecule: ribosomal RNA, 1516 nt
Filed under: Candidatus Scalindua wagneri
Lineage: Bacteria; Pseudomonadati; Planctomycetota; Candidatus Brocadiia; Candidatus Brocadiales; Candidatus Scalinduaceae
Description: 16S ribosomal RNA
Rfam family: Bacterial small subunit ribosomal RNA
Source: RNAcentral
CAUGCAAGUCGAACGAGGAUAUACUCUUCGGAGUAUAAACCGAGUGGCGAAAGGGUGAGUAAUGCAUAGAUGACAUGCCUUUAGGAUAAGAAUAUCUUUGUGAAAACGGAGUUAAUGCUUAAUAAUUACGAAGCAAAAUCAAUUAGUUUCGUCAAAGGGAGGGCAGCAAUGCCUUUCGCCUAAAGAGUGGUUUAUGUCCUAUCAGCUUGUUGGUGGGGUAAUGGCCUACCAAGGCAAAGACGGGUAGCCGGCCUUAGAGGGUGGUCGGCCACACUGGGACUGAGACACUGCCCAGACUCCUACGGGAGGCUGCAGUCGAGAAUCAUUCGCAAUGCCCGAAAGGGUGACGAUGCGACGCCGCGUGAGCGAAGAAGGCCUUAGGGUUGUAAAGCUCUGUCGAGGGUUAUGAAAUAUAGAUGGGUUAAUACCCCAUUUAUUUGACAAAAGCCCAAAAGAAGCCACGGCUAACUCUGUGCCAGCAGCCGCGGUAAUACAGAGGUGGCGAGCGUUGUUCGGUAUUAUUGGGCGUAAAGAGCACGUAGGUGGGGUUUGUAAGUCAGGUGUGAAAGCCUUCUGUUCAAAGGAAGAACGGCAUCUGAAACUGCAGAUCUUGAGUGUAGGAGGGGAGAGUGGAACUUCUGGUGGAGUGGUGAAAUGCGUAGAUAUCAGAAGGAACGUCGGCGGCGAAAGCGACUCUCUGGCCUAUUACUGACACUGAGGUGCGAAAGUUAGGGGAGCAAACGGGAUUAGAUACCCCGGUAGUCCUAACCGUAAACGAUGGGCACUAAGUAGAGGGAAUUACCAAUGUUCUCUCUGCCGUAGCUAACGCAUUAAGUGCCCCGCCUGGGGAGUACGGCCGCAAGGCUAAAACUCAAAAGAAUUGACGGGGGCUCGCACAAGCGGUGGAGCAUGUGGCUUAAUUCGAUGCAACGCGAAAAACCUUACCGGGGUUUGACAUGGUAGAAGUAGGAGCCCGAAAGGGUAACCAACGGUAUCCAGUCCGUAACUAUCACAGGUGUUGCAUGGCUGUCGUCAGCUCGUGUCGUGAGACGUUGGGUUAAGUCCCCUAACGAGCGAAACCCUUGUUUUUAGUUACCAUCGGGUUAUGCCGGGUACUCUAGAAAGACUGCCGUCGUCAAGACGGAGGAAGGUGGGGAUGACGUCAAGUCAUCAUGGCCCUUAUACCCCGGGCUGCACACGUGCUACAAUGGUCGGUACAAAAGGAAGCAAGACCGAGAGGUGGAGCGAAUCCUAAAAAGCCGAUCUCAGUUCGGAUUGGAGGCUGAAAUUCGCCUCCAUGAAGUUGGAAUCGCUAGUAAUCGCGGAUCAUCAGCGCCGCGGUGAAUAUGUUCCCGAGCCUUGUACACACCGCCCGUCAAGCCACCCAAGUAAGAUGCACCUGAAAACAUUUAUCUAACCACUUGUGGAGGAAAAUGUUGAAGGAGUGUUUUGUGAGGAGGACUAAGUCGUAACAAGGUAGUCGUAGGAGAACCUGCGGCUGGAUCACCUCCUUUCU